This 211-nucleotide unclassified non-coding RNA is filed under the name plant metagenome. RNAcentral describes it as "partial contains small subunit ribosomal RNA, internal transcribed spacer 1, and 5.8S ribosomal RNA". The record is from RNAcentral.
UUUCCGUAGGUGAACCUGCGGAAGGAUCAUCCAUAAUAAAGUGUUUUAUGGCACUUUUUAAAAAUCCAUAUCCACCUUGUGUGCAAUGUUAGAUCUCGUCAAUCUUGGCGAGAUUUUUAUACAUCAACUCAUUCUUUAACUAAUUUGUCUGAAAAAUAUUAUGAAUACUUAAUUCAAAAUACAACUUUCAACAACGGAUCUCUUGGCUCUC